CAGUAGCCGCGGGAAUACGAAGGGGGCUAGCGUUGUUCGGAUUUACUGGGCGUAAAGCGCACGUAGGCGGAUCGAUCAGUCAGGGGUGAAAUCCUGGAGCUCAACUCCAGAACUGCCUUUGAUACUGUCGAUCUCGAGUCCGGAAGAGGUGAGUGGAACUCCUAGUGUAGAGGUGGAAUUCGUAGAUAUUAGGUAGAACACCAGUGGCGAAGGCGGCUCACUGGUCCGGUACUGACGCUGAGGUGCGAAAGCGUGGGGAGCAAACAGGAUUAGAUACCCCAGUAGUCCCUGUCUCUUAUAC
Molecule: ribosomal RNA, 301 nt
Filed under: uncultured bacterium
Lineage: Bacteria
Description: partial 16S ribosomal RNA
Rfam family: Bacterial small subunit ribosomal RNA
Source: RNAcentral